This 433-nucleotide ribosomal RNA is filed under the name uncultured bacterium. RNAcentral describes it as "partial 16S ribosomal RNA". It matches the Rfam family "Bacterial small subunit ribosomal RNA", at positions 36 to 507 of the family's 1533-position model. The record is from RNAcentral.
CCCUCCCUCUUUCUUCAGGCCUAACACAUGCAAGUCGAGCGAGGACUUCGGUUCUAGCGGCGGACGGGUGAGUAACGCGUGGGAAUGUGCCCUUCUCUACGGAAUAGCCCUGGGAAACUGGGAGUAAUACCGUAUACGCCCUAUUGGGGAAAGAUUUAUCGGAGAAGGAUCAGCCCGCGUUGGAUUAGGUAGUUGGUGGGGUAAUGGCCUACCAAGCCGACGAUCCAUAGCUGGUUUGAGAGGAUGAUCAGCCACACUGGGACUGAGACACGGCCCAGACUCCUACGGGAGGCAGCAGUGGGGAAUCUUAGACAAUGGGGGCGACCCUGAUCUAGCCAUGCCGCGUGAGUGAUGAAGGCCUUAGGGUUGUAAAGCUCUUUCAGCUGGGAAGAUAAUGACGGUACCAGCAGAAGAAGCCCCGGCUAACUCCGUG